Molecule: long non-coding RNA, 941 nt
Organism: Ceratina calcarata
Lineage: Eukaryota; Metazoa; Arthropoda; Insecta; Hymenoptera; Apidae
Exons: 3
Source: RefSeq, a predicted model, not a curated record
GCGGCAAUGAGCAUUUGGGAAAUAUACAUAAAAAAAGGGGGGGAUCGAAGCAUGCUGAGCCGUAUCCGAGUGCGAGUUCGAUCAUGAACGCUCGUUAUUUUUGAGAAGUGGCGCGCACAAGUGGCCAUGGAUUUUUGCGCUGUAGGGUUGUUUGCAAAUCCUUGUCCUCCGAUUGGCGCGGCCCUAGCAGCAUUUGUUUAUUGUAAAGCGACCGCAUUGGUGCGGCUCUAGCAUCGACUGAUUUCAAAGUUAUUGCAUUGGUGCGGCUCUGGCAGCGAUUUUUAGUAUAAAAAUCGGCACCUCGAGCCGAUCAAAGACACUUCUUUCUUUGGCUCCACGGUGUGGAGAUCGAUACAAAAUAGCAAUAGUUGCGGUCUAAGGGUGACCCCUUGCAGUUCUUAUGUUGUGAAUCAGACUGGUGAUCCAGGAGCAAACAGGUAAGGGUUGACUCCUGGUGAGUACCCGAAACAGUGAGUCGUGCGAGUGGUCCGCGAAUAGACGGGAAAGUACAAGGGUACUGUUUCCAGCUCACGGUGCGGCGAUCUCGGCGACGGCCCUGGCCAACCGUGCAGCAUCCGGCCUUGUUGUAAUACGGGCCUACUUCCAGAAGGGGAUUGAGGUACUCCUGAAGUUGAGGGACCAAUGGGCAGUAGCGUAAUUAAUUUGAGUUGCCUCAGCUCAAGUUGAGUCACACAGUAGGCGCGUGCCUCUGCUCAGUUUCGGGUGUUACUCGAAGUUGUUAGACAAUGGAUGAGAGAUCGAGUUAUUCAAAUCAGAGGUGUGCAGUGCUACUAUUUUGGGGACAGGAGCUGGUAGGCUGGACUUCCUGGCGGUUACAGGGACGAUUAAAUAUUCUGAUUGAAGCACACAUGGCUGGUACGAAGUUUCGUCUAAUUAUGGAAAUUCUAAUUAAAAUAUCUUGGCCAGAAGUGUUAUUCGAA